CCUACGGGAGGCAGCAGUGAGGAAUAUUGGACAAUGGACGAGAGUCUGAACCAGCCAAGUAGCGUGAAGGAUGACUGCCCUAUGGGUUGUAAACUUCUUUUAUAUGGGAAUAAAAUGUUCCACGUGUAGGAUUUUGUAUGUACCAUAUGAAUAAGGAUCGGCUAACUCCGUGCCAGCAGCCGCGGUAAUACGGAGGAUCCGAGCGUUAUCCGGAUUUAUUGGGUUUAAAGGGAGCGUAGGUGGAUUGUUAAGUCAGUUGUGAAAGUUUGCGGCUCAACCGUAAAAUUGCAGUUGAAACUGGCAGUCUUGAGUACAGUAGAGGUGGGCGGAAUUCGUGGUGUAGCGGUGAAAUGCUUAGAUAUCACGAAGAACUCCGAUUGCGAAGGCAGUUCACUGGACUGCAACUGACACUGAGGCUCGAAAGUGUGGGUAUCAAACAGGAUUAGAUACCCGAGUAGUC
Molecule: ribosomal RNA, 460 nt
Filed under: uncultured bacterium
Lineage: Bacteria
Description: partial 16S ribosomal RNA
Rfam family: Bacterial small subunit ribosomal RNA
Source: RNAcentral